Long non-coding RNA from Dreissena polymorpha, 315 nucleotides. RefSeq lists it as uncharacterized. The record is from RefSeq and is a predicted model, not a curated record. The transcript is spliced from 2 exons. NCBI's taxonomy places the organism in Eukaryota, Metazoa, Mollusca, Bivalvia, Myida, Dreissenidae.
AAUUCUUUAAUAAUAGAGUAAUGAAACUUAAGUUAUGUUUGUACAGAAAACAUUUAAAGAAAAUCAGCUGUAGGCCUUAUGAUGAGAUUCAUACCUGUUCAUUGCAAGCAUACUACUACAGCGUGUUUACAUGACAAGAAUGCCACAACGCUGGGUUUUAAUGCGUUUACAUCAAUGCCAAUAUCUCAAAACAAUAAACACUUAGCAGUGUGUACAAGAAGGCCCAAGUCUCUAAAGAGACACCACUUGACAAUAGGUACAAGCAUGAUCAUGUCAAUAAAAAGACACCACUUGACUGUGUUUAAAAGAAUGAGA